UGCUGCAUGGCUGUCGUCAGCUCGUGUCGUGAGAUGUUGGGUUAAGUCCCGUAACGAGCGCAACCCACGCCUUUAGUUGCCAUCAUUUAGUUGGGCACUCUAGAGGGACAGCCCCGGUUAUCGGGGAGGAAGGUGUGGAUGACGUCAAGUCCUCAUGGCCCUUAUGGCCAGGGCUACACACGUACUACAAUGGGCGGUACAAAGGGCAGCUACAUCGCGAGGUGGAGCCAAUCCCCCAAAACCGUUCUCAGUCCGGAUCGGAGUCUGCAACUCGACUCCGUGAAGUUGGAAUCGCUAGUAAUCGUGGAUCAGCAAGCCACGGUGAAUAUGUUCCCGGGCCUUGUACACACCGCCCGUCACUCCACGAAAGUCGG
Molecule: ribosomal RNA, 374 nt
Filed under: uncultured delta proteobacterium
Lineage: Bacteria; Deltaproteobacteria
Description: bacterial SSU rRNA
Rfam family: Bacterial small subunit ribosomal RNA
Source: RNAcentral